GAAUAUUGUGUAUCUCCAACGAUGAGGUUGAAGAAAAUGAACAGACAAAUAAAGGAUUUCGAGGCCUUACAAGCUGAUGAUUUUAAUUCAUCCAGAAAAGCCUUAGAAGCUUAAUAAUGUCUAUACACACUUAUAGUUUACACACAUAUUUUGCCUGUGUCUUAUUCUAAACAAUUGGAUCACAAGCAACCUCCAGCUGUUAUCACAUAUAUCUUUGGUGAAAUCGUAACUAUUGUAAAGAUUUUUUGAUUAAUGCUUCACCUGUCAGAAUGAUUGGCAUGAACAUGAGCUCUAUUAAGCUUUUUGUUGUCUCCAGAAAUGAACAAUGUCGUCGAGGAUGGAGCGUGAUGUUGCCGGUCGUUAGCUGACAAAAAAUUGCACAAAUGCUCGAGACGUGCAUGACAACCAGAAUAUUGUAUAUCUCCAACGAUGAGGUUGGAGAAAAUGAACAGACGAAUAAAGGAUUUGGAGACGUUAUAGUUGAUGAAUUUAAUUUACCCAGAAAAUCCUUAGAAACUUAAUAAUGUCUUAUUCACAUACACUUAUUUCAUUCAGUGGAUUAUACUUAUAUUUUCCAAACUGAAAUAUAUCGUAUAUAUUCAUAUAAUGGAUAAUACUUAUAUUUUCAAAACUGAAAUAUAUGAUGUACCUCAUACAAGUAGCUAGGAAGUCGAUCAAAUAUGCUGACAAUUUUUCAGACACUGACUUUUAUGAAGAUAAUUCUACCGACUUAGAUGAAGCCAUACAAUAUUGGAGCGAAUAAUGAAAUUUAAGGGCAAUACAAUUUUGCUGAGCAAGAACCCAAUUUCAAUAACACAGAUGAGGGCCUCAACAUAUCUAAAUUGCAAAGAAACACGUAAUUAGUUUGGACUUCAGUAUCUUUUCUGAAAUAAAAGUAUAAAUAGUUGGAUGACAGAUUUCCAAAAAACGAAAAUAGAAGGAAAUAAUGGCGGUAAUCACUUCUACAGCAACACUGGUAGUACUGCUCUGAGCACGACUAGUAAAUCUUAUCUAAGAAAAUAUUGUGUUUUUCCGACGAUGAGUUAGAAGAUAAUGAACAGACGAAUAAAGGAUAUGGAGACCUUACAGUUGAAAAUGUUUUCAUUCACCCAGAAAAGCCUUAGUUAAUGUCUAAAUCACACACAUAUAUAAUGGUUGGCAUGAGCUGUGAAAAGAAAUAUUAUAUUGAAGAUGUAGCUGAUACGCUGUUAAUAAAUUUGGGGUGUCCUACAUAUACAUACAUACAAAGUUUACUGGUUGUCAAACCCGUUCCCAUUCAUGGAAUUUACUUCUCAACAAGAAAAUACAAACUUCUUUGGAAGAAGGCUAAGCAAACACCAAUUACCUUCAAUUGCACUCUGAAUCAUUUUUUUGAAUAAAACUAUAUGUCUAAGACUUAUUUAUAAUUAUAAGAAAACUUUAUUUUUAAAUUAAUACUUGUUGUAUUUAUAGUUUAAUUGUUAUUUAAAUUAUUUUGGAAUUCCUCACUAGUGAUCUGAUUGUUGUGCAUAGAGGCGGUUUCCAGAUUUUAAUUCAGCUGCAGCAUAGAUAGCUAAUUUCUAGAGAAUUGAAAUCCAUUAUAGUAAUUCACAGAAACAUUGGUACUACUCUGAGCACAACGGAUUAUUUCACAAUUAUUUUCUCAUUUAACAUAAUUCAUGAAUCAGGUAAUUGUAUAUUUUUUACGACUUGACAUUUUCAGAAUAUUGUGUUUCUCCAACGAUGAGAAGAAAAUAAACAGACAAAUAAAGGAUUUUGAGGCCUUACAAGCUGAUGAUUUUAGUUCAUCCAGAAAAGCCUUAGAAACUUAAUAAUGUCUAUACCACUUAUUUAAGUAUAUCAGUCUAGUAUCCAAUUUUAAAUGGUUAUUCAAAAAUACCUACUAAAAACAUUGUAUUACAUACUUAAUUAUUAUAAUGAUUUUAGAGCUUACACACAUAUUUUGUCUGUGUCUUAUUCUAAUAAUUCUUUAUUAGUUAUACCAUCAUAGUUUUCAUACUUAUUAGAUUGACAUAUUAGAUGACAAUGAGAGUAUUAACAUGGCUGAAAAAGGUAA
Molecule: long non-coding RNA, 2056 nt
Organism: Metopolophium dirhodum (rose-grain aphid)
Lineage: Eukaryota; Metazoa; Arthropoda; Insecta; Hemiptera; Aphididae
Exons: 10
Source: RefSeq, a predicted model, not a curated record